Molecule: ribosomal RNA, 442 nt
Filed under: uncultured bacterium
Lineage: Bacteria
Description: bacterial SSU rRNA
Rfam family: Bacterial small subunit ribosomal RNA
Source: RNAcentral
CUACCGGGAGGCUGCAGUGGGGAAGUAUUGCGCAAUGGGGGAAACCCGUGACGCAGCGAUGCCGCGUGGGUGAAUAAGGCCUUCGGGUUGUAAAGCCCUUUCAGUGGGGAAGAUGAUGACGGUACCCACAGAAGAAGCCCCGGCUAACUCCGUGCCAGCAGCCGCGGUAAUACGGAGGGGGCGAGCGUUGUUCGGAAUUAUUGGGCGUAAAGGGCGCGUAGGCGGUUUAUUAAGUCAGGAGUGAAAGCCUCAGGCUUAACCUGGGAACUGCUUUUGAAACUGGUAGACUAGAGUCCGGCAGAGGAUGGUGGAAUUCCCCGUGUAGAGGUGAAAUUCGUAGAUAUGGGGAGGAAGACCAGAGGCGAAGGCGACCAUCUGGACCGGUACUGACGCUGAGGCGCGAAAGCGUGGGGAGCAAGCAGGAUUAGAUACCCGGGUAGUC